This 561-nucleotide ribosomal RNA is filed under the name uncultured bacterium. RNAcentral's name for it is "bacterial SSU rRNA". It matches the Rfam family "Bacterial small subunit ribosomal RNA", at positions 338 to 917 of the family's 1533-position model. The record is from RNAcentral.
CCUACGGGAGGCAGCAGUGGGGAAUAUUGGACAAUGGGCGCAAGCCUGAUCCAGCCAUGCCGCGUGAGUGAUGAAGGCCUUAGGGUUGUAAAGCUCUUUUGUCCGGGACGAUAAUGACGGUACCGGAAGAAUAAGCCCCGGCUAACUUCGUGCCAGCAGCCGCGGUAAUACGAAGGGGGCUAGCGUUGCUCGGAAUCACUGGGCGUAAAGGGCGCGUAGGCGGCCGAUUAAGUCGGGGGUGAAAGCCUGUGGCUCAACCACAGAAUUGCCUUCGAUACUGGUUGGCUUGAGACCGGAAGAGGACAGCGGAACUGCGAGUGUAGAGGUGAAAUUCGUAGAUAUUCGCAAGAACACCAGUGGCGAAGGCGGCUGUCUGGUCCGGUUCUGACGCUGAGGCGCGAAAGCGUGGGGAGCAAACAGGAUUAGGUACCCUGGUAGUCCACGCCGUAAACGAUGAAUGCCAGCCGUUGGCCUGCUUGCAGGUCAGUGGCGCCGCUAACGCAUUAAGCAUUCCGCCUGGGGAGUACGGUCGCAAGAUUAAAACUCAAAGGAAUUGACGGA